UGACAGCAGCAGCGGUAAUACGGAGGGUGCAAGCGUUGUUCGGAAGUCUUGGGCGUAAAGCGCGUGUAGGCGGUUCGUUAAGUCUGAUGUGAAAGCCCGGGGCUCAACCCCGGAAGUGCAUUGGAAACUGGCGAACUUGAGUACGGGAGAGGAAAGUGGAAUUCCGAGUGUAGGGGUGAAAUCCGUAGAUAUUCGGAGGAACACCAGUGGCGAAGGCGGCUCACUGGCUCGAUACUGACGCUGAGGUGCGUAAGCGUCGGGCGCAAACAGGAUUAGAUA
Molecule: ribosomal RNA, 279 nt
Filed under: uncultured bacterium
Lineage: Bacteria
Description: partial 16S ribosomal RNA
Rfam family: Bacterial small subunit ribosomal RNA
Source: RNAcentral